AUUGAACGCUGGCGGCAUGCUUUACACAUGCAAGUCGAACGGCAGCACGGGAGCUUGCUCCUGGUGGCGAGUGGCGAACGGGUGAGUAAUGCAUCGGAACGUACCCAGUAGUGGGGGAUAGCCCGGCGAAAGCCGGAUUAAUACCGCAUAUUUCCUGAGGGAGAAAGCGGGGGGACCUUCGGGCCUCGCGCUACUGGAGCGGCUGAUGUCGGAUUAGCUAGUUGGUGAGGUAAAGGCUCACCAAGGCGACGAUCCGUAGCUGGUCUGAGAGGAUGAUCAGCCACACUGGGACUGAGACACGGCCCAGACUCCUACGGGAGGCAGCAGUGGGGAAUUUUGGACAAUGGGGGCAACCCUGAUCCAGCCAUGCCGCGUGAGUGAAGAAGGCCUCGGUU
Molecule: ribosomal RNA, 395 nt
Filed under: uncultured bacterium
Lineage: Bacteria
Description: bacterial SSU rRNA
Rfam family: Bacterial small subunit ribosomal RNA
Source: RNAcentral